AUGCAGGAGGCCUCGUCGUCUUCUCUCCCGGCGCUGAGCAGCGCCUACCAGCCUCUCCCGUCGCUCUACCUCGGCUUCUUGGCGAUAUGGGCGGCGUCGGGGAUCUCCUGGGCCUUCAGCUCAUGGAGGAAUCGGCACUUCCAGGCGAAUAACCUUCAAUGGAUCCUGGCCUUGGUUCCCCUGAUCAAAGCUUUGCAAAUGGCACUCUCGUUUCUGUUCAGGUACUCGUGCGUACACCUUCACACAUGCUCGCUGUGGAUGUCGUUCGGCGUGUACGUGACGGGGAUCCUCUUCCAGACGGCCUCCUUCGUCUCCUUCAUGCUCAUCUCCCACGGUUACUGCAUCAUGUACGAGCGCCUCUCCAUCAGGGAGAGACGCACGACUGCGGGGCUCGGAUGCCUCCUCUACCUUAGCCUCAUAGGCUAUAAAGCCGCAGUCCCUUAUUUCACCGGUUUUCUUCUGAUGAACUACUUCGCGUCAUUCUACAUCAUAUUCCGCCGCACGUCGCAGUGCCUGCUGGUUCUGCGUGAGCAGCUUAAUUUCGUGGAGGAGGAAGACAUCCAUUCACUGCAUGGGACACUCAACACCAAGUACACAAUGUUCAAGAGAUUUCAGGGUACAAUGCAGGUGGCAGCAGUGGCAUUCAUCAUGGUGUACAUGAGGGCUGAUGAUACGCCGGAUAACUACUGGUUCCGCGUGUUGGUACGCGAAUGGGUGCAGUUCUGCAUCUUCAUGUACAUUGGGUGGAACUUCAGGAUCCCUGAAGCAUCACUCCACCUGCCGGUCAUGCCCCUGAUGAAGUCAAACUGGGAGAUUACCAUGCCACCCAUUUACAGCGUGGAAAUGGACGCAGCCGAUUUCAGAGGACUCGUCUCGGACCAAUGGCAUGUUGGAGUGAGGACUUCUCAUGCCGACGCAUGCUACUCUUCACAGCCGUUGCUGGUGCUAGUUCAGAAUCCUAGCCCGAAGGUCUCCCGUGCCGCCGUAGCUUCAGGUUUCAGUUGA
This 1005-nucleotide ribosomal RNA is filed under the name Triticum aestivum (bread wheat). RNAcentral's name for it is "partial small subunit ribosomal RNA". The record is from RNAcentral. Lineage: Eukaryota; Viridiplantae; Streptophyta; Magnoliopsida; Poales; Poaceae.